CUUCCGUAGGGGGAACCUGCGGAAGGAUCAUUAGUGAAUAUAGGACGUCCAACUUAACUUGGAGUCCGAACUCUCACUUUCUAACCCUGUGCACUUGUUUGGGAUAGUAACUCUCGCAAGAGAGCGAACUCCUAUUCACUUAUAAACACAAAGUCUAUGAAUGUAUUAAAUUUUAUAACAAAAUAAAACUUUCAACAACGGAUCUCUUGGCUCUCGCAUCGAUGAAGAACGCAGCGAAAUGCGAUAAGUAAUGUGAAUUGCAGAAUUCAGUGAAUCAUCGAAUCUUUGAACGCACCUUGCGCUCCAUGGUAUUCCGUGGAGCAUGCCUGUUUGAGUGUCAUGAAUACUUCAACCCUCCUCUUUCUUAAUGAUUGAAGAGGUGUUUGGUUUCUGAGCGCUGCUGGCCUUUACGGUCUAGCUCGUUCGUAAUGCAUUAGCAUCCGCAAUCGAACUUCGGAUUGACUUGGCGUAAUAGACUAUUCGCUGAGGAAUUCUAGUCUUCGGAUUAGAGCCGGGUUGGGUUAAAGGAAGCUUCUAAUCAGAAUGUCUACAUUUUAAGAUUAGAUCUCAAAUCAGGUAGGACUACCCGCUGAACUUAAGCAUAUCAAUAAGCGGAGGAA
Molecule: ribosomal RNA, 620 nt
Filed under: Rhodotorula mucilaginosa
Lineage: Eukaryota; Fungi; Basidiomycota; Microbotryomycetes; Sporidiobolales; Sporidiobolaceae
Description: eukaryotic LSU rRNA
Rfam family: 5.8S ribosomal RNA (bases 187-340)
Source: RNAcentral